CUUCGACCUUAGACCGAGAGCUAAGCCCGGCGCAGGCGCGCUCCCCGCCCCAAUUGCUCUGCUAGAGAGCGCGGCGGGCUGUGGGCGUCCUGAGCGGUGAGAUAGCCCCAGCCUGCUGCUCAGUACUGUAGUGGGAGCUAGGGAAAAACUCAGUGUGAUGAAGGAUGGUGCUGUAUCCUGUGUCCUUCUCCGAUCCUACUGCUGUCUCUCUGCACUAGGUGAGUGCCUCGCUACCUACAGUAUCCAGAGCACUGAUUUGCCACCUUAACACUGCUCACAGCACCUAUGAUGAUUCCUAUAGCUGUCAUGGAGAUGUGAAAGUUGCUACAGGUACAAUGCCUAUGGCCUACCUUGCAAAGUAAUUAGUGAGGAUGCCACCUCUGCUGAAGGCCAAGCCAAGCCAUUCAAGGACUGAACUGUUACUACUUCGAGAGAAUGGUUCAUCACUGGUUAUCAGUAACUCUUCGUGGCAGUAAACAGAUCCCAGUCAACAACUUCUAUUCCCAGAGUGUUUCUGCAGUGCAGCCUAAUCAGUAGUGACAUCAGCACUGCUGACAUGCCAGAUCAGCACAUCCUGUUCACAUCCUGGCCCCACACAAGAAAAUGAAACCAUA
Long non-coding RNA from Heterocephalus glaber (naked mole-rat), 614 nucleotides. The record is from Ensembl. NCBI's taxonomy places the organism in Eukaryota, Metazoa, Chordata, Mammalia, Rodentia, Bathyergidae.